Molecule: long non-coding RNA, 665 nt
Organism: Mangifera indica (mango)
Lineage: Eukaryota; Viridiplantae; Streptophyta; Magnoliopsida; Sapindales; Anacardiaceae
Exons: 2
Source: RefSeq, a predicted model, not a curated record
AAGCACAUAAAAUUUUUCACUGUAGAUUUUCUCUUUUUCCUUUUCUUUCGAUUUCUUUCAUUUUCUUGAAUCUUCAUCUCAAUUCUUCCUUCGAUCCUCUCUAAUCACUGUUCCUGUUAUUAGAGCCAUUCAACAAAUGUUGAUAAUGGAAAACAAUCAAGUACCAACUUUUGAUUCUUCAUUCGUUCCCGAAAGAGGAAUCUACUCAUCAACAACCUGUGUGAACCUUAAUUCACGGAGAACUUCUUCCACCUCCAUAAUUGUCUCACCCAAUCGUCAAGUCAUCUUACCGAAGCUGCUAGGUCCAAUUACUCAUUUUGAAAGUCCCAGGUGCCCUUGAAUGUUGCAAAUCACGAUCUUGAAGAACAUCUCAUCGGAAUAUUGCCACAACCUAUUCCCUUUGUACAUGUAAGAUUUGAUGAGCCCAACGCAUCCACUGUUAUGGUACAUGUGAUGGAGGUAGCUGCAAGGUAGAAUCAGGUUAGCGACGAUAGAUUUGGGGUAGAGCAAGUUAUCUCUAGUUUAUGUUACAUGCGUACAACCAUAUGUUAUUGUUGACUUUUGGCCUUCUUCAGAUGUUUGUACAGUUGUAUAUGAUUACUCCAUGUAUUCAGAUACUUUUUAGAUGAGUUUUCAUAUAUGAUAUAUACAUCUUUUGUUCGCUU